UCAUUUCAGAAGGAACUGGCUGCUUCUCCUCUGCCUUUCAAUCUGUCAGCAGAGCCCCCUCCCACCCUCCCUUACCCCCGACCUCCUCCACUGGCAGGAAGUAAACAAAAACCAGCUGGAAUGGAAGCCCGGGGACAGUGUUUGCAGACUUCAGCCCUCUGAAGUACACAGGUAAUCCUUUGGACAGUCCACAAAGAAGUCUUGGCAGGUAAUUUCAAGAGAAAGACUGCGAAGGUUUCUCCCCUUUUGUAUCUGCUGAUCUUAUCUCUUGCAGAUUCAGCUCAAAAGCAAUCAAUUUAAAAACGACUGGAGCUGCCACCACUACCCGAAGGCUUAUGCCAGGGGCCCUACCAGCUACUUUGUAUUCAGUAUCUCAGAUUCUCAACCAGGUUGUUAAUCUUAACAACCCAGGGACAGUCUCUUGAAAAUACCCAUUAUAUAGAAAACUGUGACUCAGAGACAUUAAGUCACUGCUCCAAGGUCAAACAGCUCUUAAGUGGCAAACUGGAUAGACGAUCUCUAUUUCAUUUGCCAUCAGAUUCUGCUCUGUUUUUAUAACUCUGGUAGCUCUUACCUAAUCAGAAUUUUUUUUUUUUUAAGUUUCCUAAAGUCGUCACAAGGGUAGUUCAUCCUAAAGGGUGUAAACAAACAGACGCAAAACCAAGGCCACAGAAGAGCAUUCUCAAGUCCAAUUAUUUGCCUCCCUCCUCCGUCUUUCCCUGGUGACGUUAAACUAACGUACCCUUGUAGAGUACAUCUUCUCAAGCAGAUAGAUAAGAUAUUGAAGGGACAGAGGAGGGACACUGGAUGUGUUGGAGGAUCCCAGAGUUAUGUGCCCGAGGAGGACUCAGCAUGAGGGGCAAAGUCUGGACGAGAGUGUGUGAAGAAGCCUUACCACUGAAGAGUGAAUGCCCCCUGGGAAACCCUGCAAGGCUCAACCAGCGUCAGAGCUGCACUGACCUGUCUAAAGAGAAGGCACAGACCAGCAUCUGAGGAUGAUCCAGACACAACCCCGGAAGCCUAGUGCCCUGAACCACCACAUUUGGCUGGAGUCUUCCCAGGUGGCUCAGCAGUAAUGAAUCCACCUGCCAGUGCAGGAGACGCAGGUUCGAUCCCUGUGUCAGGAAGAUCCCCAGAAGGAAAUGGCAACCCACUCCAGUAUUCUUGCCUGGGAAAUCCCAUGGACAGAGGAGCGUGGCAGGCUGCAGUCCACGGGGUCACAGAGUCAGGCACGACUUAGCGACUAAACAACAACCACCACCUUCCAAAGCUUCAUUCUAAGUUCCAGGCUAUUGGUUCAACAAAGAGUCAUUCAUAGGUUUUUGUUGGGUGGAGAGAUGGUAGAAGUGCU
This 1351-nucleotide long non-coding RNA is filed under the name Capra hircus (goat). Its description in RNAcentral is "lncRNA (ENSCHIG00000004888.1)". Lineage: Eukaryota; Metazoa; Chordata; Mammalia; Artiodactyla; Bovidae. The record is from RNAcentral.